GUUAGUUGUAUCUCUGCAAGACUUCGGAGUAUGCCUUUCGUCACAAAGAGCAGGUUUGCUCAAGUCCAUUAAGCAGUGAAAUGUGGCUGUGACAGCUGUGAUGAAACAUCAAUUUCUUUGCCCACAGAGCCAGGAAGAGCCAAGGCACCAUGAAAAGCCAGUGUUCCCAGGGCUUUCAGAAAUCCUUCAAAUGUCCACUUUUUGCAGCAUGAAG
RNAcentral lists this long non-coding RNA (214 nucleotides) under Pogona vitticeps (central bearded dragon). RNAcentral's name for it is "lncRNA (ENSPVIG00000002794.1)". The record is from RNAcentral. Lineage: Eukaryota; Metazoa; Chordata; Lepidosauria; Squamata; Agamidae.